GGGGAAUAUUGCGCAAUGGGGGAAACCCUGACGCAGCAAUACCGCGUGAGUGAGGAAGGUUUUCGGAUCGUAAAGCUCUGUUAUUGGGGAAGAAAAAAUGACGGUACCUAAGGAGGAAGCCCCGGCUAACUACGUGCCAGCAGCCGCGGUAAAACGUAGGGGGCGAGCGUUGUCCGGAAUUACUGGGCGUAAAGGGCGUGUAGGCGGCUCGUGAAGUCAGGAGUGAAAGCCCGGGGCUCAACCCCGGGACUGCUUUUGAAACCAGCGGGCUUGAGUGCAGGAGAGGGAAGUGGAAUUCCCAGUGUAGCGGUGAAAUGCGUAGAUAUUGGGAGGAACACCAGUGGCGAAAGCGGCUUCCUGGCCUGUAACUGACGCUGAGGCGCGAAAGCGUGGGGAGCAAACA
This 403-nucleotide ribosomal RNA is filed under the name uncultured Eubacteriales bacterium. RNAcentral's name for it is "bacterial SSU rRNA". It matches the Rfam family "Bacterial small subunit ribosomal RNA", at positions 356 to 774 of the family's 1533-position model. Lineage: Bacteria; Bacillati; Bacillota; Clostridia; Eubacteriales. The record is from RNAcentral.